CAGCUACACAUGCAGUCGAGCGGAUGAAGGGAGCUUGCUCCUGGAUUCAGCGGCGGACGGGUGAGUAAUGCCUAGGAAUCUGCCUGGUAGUGGGGGAUAACGUCCGGAAACGGGCGCUAAUACCGCAUACGUCCUGAGGGAGAAAGUGGGGGAUCUUCGGACCUCACGCUAUCAGAUGAGCCUAGGUCGGAUUAGCUAGUUGGUGGGGUAAAGGCCUACCAAGGCGACGAUCCGUAACUGGUCUGAGAGGAUGAUCAGUCACACUGGAACUGAGACACGGUCCAGACUCCUACGGGAGGCAGCAGUGGGGAAUAUUGGACAAUGGGCGAAAGCCUGAUCCAGCCAUGCCGCGUGUGUGAAGAAGGUCUUCGGAUUGUAAAGCACUUUAAGUUGGGAGGAAGGGCAGUAAGUUAAUACCUUGCUGUUUUGACGUUACCAACAGAAUAAGCACCGGCUAACUUCGUGCCAGCAGCCGCGGUAAUACGAAGGGUGCAAGCGUUAAUCGGAAUUACUGGGCGUAAAGCGCGCGUAGGUGGUUCAGCAAGUUGGAUGUGAAAUCCCCGGGCUCAACCUGGGAACUGCAUCCAAAACUACUGAGCUAGAGUACGGUAGAGGGUGGUGGAAUUUCUUGUGUAGCGGUGAAAUGCGUAGAUAUAGGAAGAAGAACCCCGGGGGGAAAAGACAACCC
This 688-nucleotide ribosomal RNA is filed under the name Pseudomonas aeruginosa. RNAcentral describes it as "bacterial SSU rRNA". It matches the Rfam family "Bacterial small subunit ribosomal RNA", at positions 47 to 730 of the family's 1533-position model. Lineage: Bacteria; Pseudomonadati; Pseudomonadota; Gammaproteobacteria; Pseudomonadales; Pseudomonadaceae. The record is from RNAcentral.